Molecule: ribosomal RNA, 744 nt
Filed under: uncultured bacterium
Lineage: Bacteria
Description: bacterial SSU rRNA
Rfam family: Bacterial small subunit ribosomal RNA
Source: RNAcentral
AGAGUUUGAUCAUGGCUCAGAGCGAACGCUGGCGGCAGGCUUAACACAUGCAAGUCGAGCGGGCGUAGCAAUACGUCAGCGGCAGACGGGUGAGUAACGCGUGGGAACAUACCUUUUGGUUCGGAACAACACAGGGAAACUUGUGCUAAUACCGGAUAAGCCCUUACGGGGAAAGAUUUAUCGCCGAAAGAUUGGCCCGCGUCUGAUUAGCUAGUUGGUGAGGUAAUGGCUCACCAAGGCGACGAUCAGUAGCUGGUCUGAGAGGAUGAUCAGCCACAUUGGGACUGAGACACGGCCCAAACUCCUACGGGAGGCAGCAGUGGGGAAUAUUGGACAAUGGGGGCAACCCUGAUCCAGCCAUGCCGCGUGAGUGAUGAAGGCCCUAGGGUUGUAAAGCUCUUUUGUGCGGGAAGAUAAUGACGGUACCGCAAGAAUAAGCCCCGGCUAACUUCGUGCCAGCAGCCGCGGUAAUACGAAGGGGGCUAGCGUUGCUCGGAAUCACUGGGCGUAAAGGGUGCGUAGGCGGGUUUUUAAGUCAGGGGUGAAAUCCUGGAGCUCAACUCCAGAACUGCCUUUGAUACUGAAGAUCUUGAGUCCGGGAGAGGUGAGUGGAACUGCGAGUGUAGAGGUGAAAUUCGUAGAUAUUCGCAAGAACACCAGUGGCGAAGGCGGCUCACUGGCCCGGUACUGACGCUGAGGCACGAAAGCGUGGGGAGCAAACAGGAUUAGAUACCCUAGUAGUCC